This 73-nucleotide transfer RNA is filed under the name Proteus mirabilis. RNAcentral describes it as "tRNA-Ala". It matches the Rfam family "tRNA". From Rfam's summary of the family: Transfer RNA (tRNA) molecules are approximately 80 nucleotides in length. Lineage: Bacteria; Pseudomonadati; Pseudomonadota; Gammaproteobacteria; Enterobacterales; Morganellaceae. The record is from RNAcentral.
GGGGCUAUAGCUCAGCUGGGAGAGCCCCUGCCUUGCACGCAGGAGGUCAGCGGUUCGAUCCCGCUUAGCUCCA